RNAcentral lists this ribosomal RNA (588 nucleotides) under uncultured bacterium. RNAcentral's name for it is "bacterial SSU rRNA". It matches the Rfam family "Bacterial small subunit ribosomal RNA", at positions 338 to 944 of the family's 1533-position model. The record is from RNAcentral.
CCUACGGGAGGCAGCAGUGGGGAAUAUUGGACAAUGGGGGCAACCCUGAUCCAGCCAUGCCGCGUGAGUGAUGAAGGCCUUCGGGUUGUAAAGCUCUUUUGGCGGGGACGAUGAUGACGGUACCCGCAGAAUAAGCCCCGGCUAACUUCGUGCCAGCAGCCGCGGUAAGACGAAGGGGGCUAGCGUUGUUCGGAAUUACUGGGCGUAAAGCGCGUGUAGGCGGUUUGCCAAGUCGGGUGUGAAAGCCUUGGGCUUAACCCAAGAAAUGCACUCGGUACUGGCAGACUAGAGGACCGGAGAGGAUAGUGGAAUUCCCAGUGUAGUGGUGAAAUACGUAGAGAUUGGGAAGAACACCAGUGGCGAAGGCGGCUAUCUGGACGGUUUCUGACGCUAAGACGCGAAAGCGUGGGGAGCAAACAGGAUUAGAUACCCUGGUAGUCCACGCCGUAAACGAUGGGUGCUAGACGUUGGCGAGCUUGCUCGUCAGUGUCGCAGCUAACGCGUUAAGCACCCCGCCUGGGGAGUACGGCCGCAAGGUUGAAACUUAAGAUAGUACGGCGUGAGACGNGCGACGAGCACAGGAGGUAG